This is a non-coding RNA of Aulographum hederae CBS 113979, 88 nucleotides long. Lineage: Eukaryota; Fungi; Ascomycota; Dothideomycetes; Aulographales; Aulographaceae. The record is from the annotation of a GenBank genome assembly.
GGUUGUGUAGUGUAGUGGUCAUCACUCCAGGUUUUGAUCAUCUUUGACUCGAAUUCUGGUAACCCCGGUUCAAACCCGGGCACGACCU